UUAUAUCUAAUUAUGUCAAACAUGUUCGUAAUGAUCUGAUCCUCGCAUUGUAACAAUAAAUUUAAAUCGGAUAAGUGUUUGGUUAUAUCAACCAUAAAAGAUAAAUCUUGCAACCAAAUUUGAUCGGAGAACAAAUUUGUAUCUUGAUUUAUAGUUUGUAUAAACUUGCAUAUUUUUUCUUUCAAAUCCCAGAAUUGUUUGAUUAGUGUGAAACGGACUCCAUUUCAGCCAAUUAGAGUUUUACAUUUUCGCGCGUACAAUUUAAAAUGAUCCGUAUAGUUUAUUAAUAAGUAUAUUAUAAUUCUAUAUGCUGGAUUCGUUUCUAAUUCACAUUUCUAUUUUAUUUUUACUUUGCUUUGGAUAUAUUGACUGGGCCACAAAAAUGUUAAUCUUGGACCGCAUGCGGCCCGUGAGUUUGACACAUUUGAUCUAAACAUUAACAAAAAUAUUUUAAUGGAAAAGCUGAAUGUAUUGUGGUAAUUGUGAAGGUUGUCUCCUAAAGUUGAUGAGAUAAUUUUACACCUGUAAUUUCAAUUAAUUUUCUAUAUGAUUUACAGCAAGAAGAAUUAGCUUAUAAAACAAGAGAAGAACAAACUCAGCUUUGACAGCAAGUAUUAGCUGCUAAUGAUGCUGAAAAAGUUCCUUCUGAAUUUUUAGGUGGCAAAGCAUCACAACAGGUUUCUCGUCGUGUUGGUAGUAUGAGUUCAUUGUCUGGUGCUGAUGAUGCUGUUUACAUGGAAUAUAAACUUAGAAGAGAAGGCAGCAAACAUCCUCUUUUCAAAAGAUUCAGAAAAUGAUGUUAAAAUAUUUUUGUACAGAUUAAUUUUGUAAAUAAAAUGUUUUAUAUUUA
Long non-coding RNA from Parasteatoda tepidariorum (common house spider), 850 nucleotides. The record is from RefSeq and is a predicted model, not a curated record. Lineage: Eukaryota; Metazoa; Arthropoda; Arachnida; Araneae; Theridiidae.